This 253-nucleotide ribosomal RNA is filed under the name uncultured bacterium. Its description in RNAcentral is "partial 16S ribosomal RNA". It matches the Rfam family "Bacterial small subunit ribosomal RNA", at positions 524 to 776 of the family's 1533-position model. The record is from RNAcentral.
UACAGAGGGUGCUAGCGUUGUUCGGAAUUACUGGGCGUAAAGGGCGCGUAGGCGGUUCGUUAAGUCCUGUGUGAAAUCCCCCGGCUCAACUGGGGAACUGCACAGGAAACUAGCGGGCUUGAGUUCGGGAGAGGGAAGCGGAAUUCCGGGUGUAGCGGUGAAAUGCGUAGAUAUCCGGAGGAACACCGGUGGCGAAGGCGGCUUCCUGGACCGACACUGACGCUGAGGCGCGAAAGCUAGGGGAGCAAACGGG